Molecule: unclassified non-coding RNA, 814 nt
Filed under: uncultured Bordetella sp.
Lineage: Bacteria; Pseudomonadati; Pseudomonadota; Betaproteobacteria; Burkholderiales; Alcaligenaceae
Description: partial 16S-23S ribosomal RNA intergenic spacer
Rfam family: Bacterial small subunit ribosomal RNA (bases 1-501)
Source: RNAcentral
GGUUCGAUUAUGGCUCAGAUUGAACGCUGGCGGGAUGCUUUACACAGCAUGCAAGUCGAACGGCAACACAGGACUUCGGUCUGGUGGCGAGUGGCGAACGGGUGAGUAAUGUAUCGGAACGUGCCCUAGUAGCGGGGGAUAACUACGCGAAAGCGUAGCUAAUACCGCAUACGCCCUUCGGGGGAAAGCAGGGGACCUUCGGGCCUCGCACUAUUAAACGGCCGAUAUCGGAUUAGCUAGUUGGUGGGGUAACGGCUCACCAAGGCGACGAUCCGUAGCUGGUUUUGAGAGGACGACCAGCCACACUGGGACUGAGACACGGCCCAGACUCCUACGGGAGGCAGCGGUGGGGAAUUUUGGACAAUGGGGGAAACCCUGAUCCGGCUAUCCGCGUGUGCGAUGAAGGCCUUCCGGGUUCAGCACUUUUGGCGGGAAAGAAACGGCACGGGAUAAUACGUGCGGCGGUACCUGCCGGUAACACAACUUCCCGAGCGCUUCAUCAUGACUACAUUAUCCAAAAUUCCCCACUGCUGCCUCCCCGUAGGAGUCUGAAUUCGUCAGUCCCCCAGUGUGUGGUCAAACAGCUACGGACCGUCGCCUUGAGCCGUUACCCUCCAACUAGCAAUCGAUCGGCACCGCUCUGUGCAGACGGAAGUCCACUUUUCCGUAUGCGGUAUUAUGCGCUUUCGCGUGAUUCUAGACACGUUCCGACCGGUGCACCGUUCGCCGCGCGAGGAAGUCCAUGAGCCGUAUGUAAACAUCCGCCAGCGGUCAAUCUGAAUUAUAAUCGAACCCUCUGUUACCUGAUGUAAAC